This 106-nucleotide small nucleolar RNA is filed under the name Eutrema salsugineum. RNAcentral describes it as "Plant small nucleolar RNA R71". It matches the Rfam family "Plant small nucleolar RNA R71". Rfam says of the family: R71 is a member of the C/D box family of snoRNAs containing the C (UGAUGA) and D (CUGA) box motifs. The record is from Rfam by way of RNAcentral. Lineage: Eukaryota; Viridiplantae; Streptophyta; Magnoliopsida; Brassicales; Brassicaceae.
AAUCCAUGGUGAGGGCAAUCACGUUCAUACUCCUUAAAACGUUCCCAAGCUUCAUAGAAAGAUUCACUUGGCCCUCGUUGAAAUUUUGAGAUCUUUGUUCUCAACU